Molecule: ribosomal RNA, 500 nt
Filed under: uncultured bacterium
Lineage: Bacteria
Description: partial 16S ribosomal RNA
Rfam family: Bacterial small subunit ribosomal RNA
Source: RNAcentral
AUUGAACGCUGGCGGCAUGCCUUACACAUGCAAGUCGAACGGCAGCACGGGAGCAAUCCUGGUGGCGAGUGGCGAACGGGUGAGUAAUAUAUCGGAACGUGCCCAGUCGUGGGGGAUAACGUAGCGAAAGCUACGCUAAUACCGCAUACGAUCUACGGAUGAAAGCGGGGGAUCGCAAGACCUCGCGCGAUUGGAGCGGCCGAUAUCAGAUUAGCUAGUUGGUGAGGUAAAGGCUCACCAAGGCGACGAUCUGUAGCUGGUCUGAGAGGACGACCAGCCACACUGGAAAUGAGACACGGUCCAGACUCCUACGGGAGGCAGCAGUGGGGAAUUUUGGACAAUGGGCGCAAGCCUGAUCCAGCAAUGCCGCGUGCAGGAUGAAGGCCUUCGGGUUGUAAACUGCUUUUGUACAGAACGAAACGGUCCUUUCUAAUACAAGGGGCUAAUGACGGUACUGUAAGAAUAAGCACCGGCUAACUACGUGCCAGCCGCCGCGGUAA